UACGUAGGGGGCGAGCGUUGUCCGGAAUCAUUGGGCGUAAAGCGCGUGUAGGCGGUCCGGUAAGUCCGCUGUGAAAGUCCGGGGCUCAACCCCGGGAGGCGGAUGGAUACUGCAAGGCUCGAGUCCGGAAGAGGCAAGUGGAAUUCCCGGUGUAGCGGUGAAAUGCGCAGAUAUCGGGAGGAACACCAAUGGCGAAGGCAGCUUGCUGGGACGGUACUGACGCUGAGACGCGAAAGCGUGGGGAGCAAACAGG
Molecule: ribosomal RNA, 253 nt
Filed under: uncultured bacterium
Lineage: Bacteria
Description: partial 16S ribosomal RNA
Rfam family: Bacterial small subunit ribosomal RNA
Source: RNAcentral